GCAUCAUCAAACUCUAUAUAACUACUGUAUUGAAGUAGUAUAUGGUUAACAACAUUAUAUCAUAUAUAGCUUUAUCAAAUUAAUCAUCCUCUAGUCUAAAGGCAAUGGCGAUGAAUUCUGAGAAGAUUCUUCUGGCUACAAUCAUCAUCUUUAUGCUUGUUUUAUCUCCAGUUGUACGUAGCAGCGCGGACAGAAUGACUCGUCGAGAACUUGGGGUUAAGCAACCAAAAUGCGAGAAUUGCAUCUGUUGCCAACCAAAUACGCCGUCGUGUUGCGUUUGCGCUUGUGCCGUUCCGUUUACUGUCGCCGUCGACCAGCCGUGAUCACGGAAUUAAGCAAAUUAGUGACGAGAAGAUCGAUCAAAGACGUUGUGUGAUCAUUUCUAUAUAAAAAUAAAAUAAUUUGCUCAAUGAUUUGGCAAUGUGUUUUGGGUGAUUUGAAUUUUUGUUUGUGUGAAUAUUAUUGCUUCUAUAAAAUAAUAAUAUGAAGAAAAAAAAACGUUUUUUUGUUUGGUAAAAUGAAAUAACUGUUUCGUUAUUUUUUUUUCCUUUCAUGCUCCUAUUGUAUUUGUAAUUAUGAAAGUUUCAAUGUAAAAUGGAUGGAUUCCACUCCACCAAUUCAAGAAAACCCAAUACUGUCAUUU
Solanum dulcamara is the source of this 643-nucleotide RNA transcript. RefSeq lists it as uncharacterized. NCBI's taxonomy places the organism in Eukaryota, Viridiplantae, Streptophyta, Magnoliopsida, Solanales, Solanaceae. The transcript has 2 exons. The record is from RefSeq and is a predicted model, not a curated record.